GACGAACGCUAGCUGCGGGCCUAACACAUGCAAGUCGAACGGAAUCAAUAGGAGCUUUCUUUUCUUUACUUAGUGGCGAACGGGUGAGUGACGCGUGCGUAACCUGCCCUGGAGUGGGGGACAACAAUUGGAAACGACUGCUAAUACCGCCUAAGCGCACGGAUCCGCAUGGAUCUGCGGGAAAAGGAUUUAUUCGCUUCAGGGUGGACUCGCGUCCAAUUAGCUAGUUGUUGAGGUAACGGCACACCAAGGCGACGAUUGGUAGCCGGACUGAGAGGUUGGACGGGCACAUAGGGACUGCGACACGGAGCAGAGUGCUACAGGAGGCAGCAGGCGGGGAUAUGGAACAAUGGGGGAAAGCGUGAGGCGGCGACGCCGCGUGGAGGAAGAAGGUUUUAGGAUUGUAAAAUCCUGUGGUUAGGGACGAUAAUGAAGGUACCUAAUAAGAAAGCACCGGCUAACUACGUG
Molecule: ribosomal RNA, 468 nt
Filed under: uncultured bacterium
Lineage: Bacteria
Description: partial 16S ribosomal RNA
Rfam family: Bacterial small subunit ribosomal RNA
Source: RNAcentral